GGCGGGAAAUUUACCGAUUCACAUUAUACACCAAAGGAUUAGUUGCAUUUGGUCAUUAAUUUUUAACUGAAUAUAUUUAAUGCUUGUCGAUGAUUCCAGCAGUUUUAGUCAUAAUUAAAUUACAUUCGGAAUCAGCGACCAACAUACAUCGAAUAAUUAUUGUGAUUAUUUUGAGACACCGGCCGGUCGACCUUCCGUUGCGGUUCAGAUGCGAAAUGCGAUAACAAAAGUUCUAACUCAAUAACCGGUCUCCUUGACUCAAAUCUCGACGUGGGUUGAUAUACUUUCCGGGAAAUUUGCACCCGCAGGUACUUGCUCUCAUUGUUACAGCAGACAGACCAGACUGGAUUUCUAAACCGGUUCCAUUGGAAGAUAUGACUGAUUUAGUCAAUGCGAUUCAGUGACGCAAAUAUCUGAAAGAUUAAGAUUAGGUGUUUAUAAGAUUUAGGAUUGAAAUAUUUAAUUAAUUUUAAAUUGAUGUCUUUUUAACAAAUUAAUUACAAUGUUGCAAGAUAAGUAAAAUUUAAAUUGUGAUUACAUUAAACUUCUUUAGGAUCUUUUGAUUAUUCCGCACACUUUUGUGGUUGUUUCAUGUAAUACAAGUCGUUCUAGUAGAAUAUAUUAAUAUUAACUAAACUGGAA
This is a long non-coding RNA of Culex quinquefasciatus (southern house mosquito), 642 nucleotides long. RefSeq lists it as uncharacterized. The transcript is spliced from 3 exons. The record is from RefSeq and is a predicted model, not a curated record. NCBI's taxonomy places the organism in Eukaryota, Metazoa, Arthropoda, Insecta, Diptera, Culicidae.